This 422-nucleotide ribosomal RNA is filed under the name uncultured bacterium. RNAcentral's name for it is "bacterial SSU rRNA". It matches the Rfam family "Bacterial small subunit ribosomal RNA", at positions 355 to 774 of the family's 1533-position model. The record is from RNAcentral.
UAAGGAAUAUUGGACAAUGGAGGCAACUCUGAUCCAGCCAUGCCGCGUGAAGGAAUAAGGCCCUAUGGGUUGUAAACCUCUUUUAGACGGGACAAAACCCCUUUACGUGUAAAGGGUUGAUGGUACUGUCAGAAUAAGCAUCGGCUAACUUCGUGCCAGCAGCCGCGGUAAUACGAAGGAUGCAAGCGUUAUCCGGAAUUAUUGGGUUUAAAGGGUGCGUAGGCGGACUAAUAAGUCAGUGGUGAAAGCCUGCAGCUUAACUGCAGAAUUGCCAUUGAUACUGUUAGUCUUGAGUACAGUUGAGGUAGGCGGAAUGUGUCAUGUAGCGGUGAAAUGCUUAGAUAUGACACAGAACACCGAUUGCGAAGGCAGCUUGCUAAGCUGUAACUGACGCUGAGGCACGAAAGCGUGGGGAGCAAACA